RNAcentral lists this ribosomal RNA (253 nucleotides) under uncultured bacterium. Its description in RNAcentral is "partial 16S ribosomal RNA". It matches the Rfam family "Bacterial small subunit ribosomal RNA", at positions 524 to 776 of the family's 1533-position model. The record is from RNAcentral.
UACGGAGGGUGCAAGCGUUGUCCGGAUUUAUUGGGUUUAAAGGGUGCGUAGGUGGCCCGUUAAGUCCGGGGUGAAAGCCCACUGCUCAACAGUGGAACUGCCAUGGAUACUGAUGGGCUUGAGUACAGACGAGGUAGGCGGAAUGGAUGCUGUAGCGGUGAAAUGCAUAGAUAGCAUCCAGAACCCCGAUUGCGUAGGCAGCUUACUAGGCUGUAACUGACGCUGAGGCACGAAAGCGUGGGGAGCGAACAGG